CCCACUACUCAGGACUCUUGUGCCCUGUAAAGCUCCCAUGGGGCUAGCUGGGCUAAUACUGGUGUCUGUCUUAAUUAGAGUUACUAAUGCUGUGAUGAAACACUAUGACCAAAAGCAGCUUGAGGAGGAAAGGGUUUAAUUGGCUUACGUAUCCUGAAUCACAGCCCAUUGAGGGAAACCAAGAUAGGAACUCAAACCAGAUGAGAACCUGAAGGCAGAAGCUGAUGCAGAGGCCAUGGAGGAGUGCUAAAUAUCCAGGACUACCAGCCCAGUGGAGCAAAAAUUUGGGGAAAUCAUGACUAUUCCUGGACUGUUAACUGCUCCUCAUGGUCCUGGAGGCUGGAUUUGCAGACCAAGUCAGAGUUCCCCAGAGAACUGCACUAGACUGUACCUCAUCUCUCCCGGAUCCUGUAAUUGACCCCUUAUUGGUUGUAAGUUACCCCUGAAAUAAACCUCUUUUAAUUACCAGAUA
This is a long non-coding RNA of Peromyscus eremicus (cactus mouse), 472 nucleotides long. RefSeq lists it as uncharacterized. Lineage: Eukaryota; Metazoa; Chordata; Mammalia; Rodentia; Cricetidae. The record is from RefSeq and is a predicted model, not a curated record. The transcript is spliced from 3 exons.